This 287-nucleotide ribosomal RNA is filed under the name uncultured Pseudomonadales bacterium. RNAcentral describes it as "partial 16S ribosomal RNA". It matches the Rfam family "Bacterial small subunit ribosomal RNA", at positions 521 to 808 of the family's 1533-position model. Lineage: Bacteria; Pseudomonadati; Pseudomonadota; Gammaproteobacteria; Pseudomonadales. The record is from RNAcentral.
UAAUACAGAGGGUGCGAGCGUAAUCGGAUUUACUGGGCGUAAAGCGUGCGUAGGCGGCUUUUUAAGUCGGAUGUGAAAUCCCUGAGCUUAACUUAGGAAUUGCAUUCGAUACUGGGAAGCUAGAGUAUGGGAGAGGAUGGUAGAAUUCCAGGUGUAGCGGUGAAAUGCGUAGAGAUCUGGAGGAAUACCGAUGGCGAAGGCAGCCAUCUGGCCUAAUACUGACGCUGAGGUACGAAAGCAUGGGGAGCAAACAGGAUUAGAUACCCUGGUAGUCAAGGGCGAAUUCG